RNAcentral lists this long non-coding RNA (494 nucleotides) under Amborella trichopoda. RNAcentral's name for it is "long non-coding RNA (ATRI_LNC004469)". The record is from RNAcentral. Lineage: Eukaryota; Viridiplantae; Streptophyta; Magnoliopsida; Amborellales; Amborellaceae.
UCAUUUCGUAUAAAAAAAGCUUCACAUUCCCAAAAAGCAGAAAAAAAAACAAAAAAAACAUAAACAAAAACAAAAAUAACCAAUCCAAACUAAAAAAAAGAAAAAAUACCAAAAAAAAAAAAGGUUCAACAAAAAAAAAAGGCAACUUGUUAUAAGAAUCCUUACAUUCGUAUAUGAACCAUAAAAAUACGCAUGAAUCUGAUGCCUGGCUCCCCCUGUCUGCCUUUCUUCACUGUAUAUUUAUAUACACCCGCACAAACCGCAUAAAAAUACGGUCCCCAUCCUAUAUUUUCAGCGUCUUCGUCUAACCCCGGCCAAGAAGCACCUUACUUUGGAGGCGCCGCCAUAUUUGGCGGAGAAACCGCGGUGGCCUCGCCAAUUUUGGCGGAGAAAAGAGAAACCUCACCAUUUCUGGAGGAGGAGACGGGGGGCCGCAGUUUUUGGCGAAGGUUUUCGCAGCGGUAUUUAGUAGUGGAGAGACAAGCGGCUCUUUG